GAAACUAUAGUCAUAUUAAUAAUGAUAUAUAAUUUGCACUUAUAAGGAGGUUAAACUAGUUUCG
RNAcentral lists this transfer RNA (64 nucleotides) under Candidiopotamon okinawense. RNAcentral describes it as "tRNA-Ala". Lineage: Eukaryota; Metazoa; Arthropoda; Malacostraca; Decapoda; Potamidae. The record is from RNAcentral.